GCUAUUUCUUCUAUUAGUUCAACAGAAAAAAAGGACAUUAACAAAAAUGUAUGCUAUUUUCAAAGGCAGAUUGUGAGCGUAAAUGAACGGUGACCCUAUUUUUGUAUUUAAUUUUUCUAUUAAGUAUAAGAUAAAGUUCAUUUAUAGAAAAAUAUAUAGAAAUCCUAUAUUAAAUAAAAAAAAUGAUUUAGACCCGCGAGCCCCCUUAAG
This 210-nucleotide long non-coding RNA is filed under the name Mytilus galloprovincialis (Mediterranean mussel). The record is from RNAcentral. Lineage: Eukaryota; Metazoa; Mollusca; Bivalvia; Mytilida; Mytilidae.